This 912-nucleotide ribosomal RNA is filed under the name Gralliclava sp. CMF 0745. RNAcentral's name for it is "SSU rRNA". It matches the Rfam family "Eukaryotic small subunit ribosomal RNA", at positions 525 to 1344 of the family's 1831-position model. Lineage: Eukaryota; Metazoa; Arthropoda; Insecta; Hemiptera; Coreidae. The record is from RNAcentral.
CUAAAUCCUUUAACGAGGAUCUAUUGGAGGGCAAGUCUGGUGCCAGCAGCCGCGGUAAUUCCAGCUCCAAUAGCGUAUAUUAAAGUUGUUGCGGUUAAAAAGCUCGUAGUUGGUUCUGCGUGCCACGCUGUCGGUUCACCGCCUGCCGGUGCAACUGGCAUGCCGUGGCAUGUCCUGUCGGUGGCGGAUAGGCUUCGCGGCGCACCCUAUGCGGUAUACCAACGUGUAGGCUGUCGCGCCGUGUUGUCCUUGUACGCCGGCUCAAUCCUACCGCGGUGCUCUUUACCGAGUGUCGAGGUAGGCCGACACUGUUUACUUUGAACAAAUUAGAGUGCUUAAAGCAGGCUCUUAAAUCAGCCUAAAUAGUGGUGCAUGGAAUAAUGGAACAGGACCUUGGUUCUAUUUUGUUGGUUUUCGGAAUCCAAGGUAAUGAUCAAUAAGGACAGGCGGGGGCAUUCGUAUUGCGACGUUAGAGGUGAAAUUCUUGGAUCGUCGCAAGACGCACUAGAGCGAAAGCAUUUGCCAAGUAUGUCUUAAUUGAUCAAGAACGAAAGUUAGAGGUUCGAAGGCGAUCAGAUACCGCCCUAGUUCUAACCAUAAACGAUGCCAGCCAGCGAUCCGCCGAUGUUCCUCCGAUGACUCGGCGGGGAGCUUCCCCCGGGAAACCAAAGCUUUUGGGUUCCGGGGGAAGUAUGGUUGCAAAGCUGAAACUUAAAGGAAUUGACGGAAGGGCACCACCAGGAGUGGAGCCUGCGGCUUAAUUUGACUCAACACGGGAAACCUCACCAGGCCCGGACAUUGGAAGGAUUGACAGAUCGAUAGCUCUUUCUCGAUUCAGUGGGUAGUGGUGCAUGGCCGUUCUUAGUUGGUGGACUGAUUUGUCUGGUUAAUUCCGAUAACGAACGAGACUCU